This is a long non-coding RNA of Drosophila innubila, 1255 nucleotides long. RefSeq lists it as uncharacterized. Lineage: Eukaryota; Metazoa; Arthropoda; Insecta; Diptera; Drosophilidae. The transcript is spliced from 3 exons. The record is from RefSeq and is a predicted model, not a curated record.
GUCAAUGAAAGUAAAUUUGAGGCAAUCACCAGUCUAUUGCCCUGCAGUAACCGAAAGUAAAAGUGCAAAUGCCGAGCGAUGAAAUAUUGAUAAGGACGGUUACGGUCAGAGAUCUUUGGGGUGCACAUUAAUUCAUGUUUUCCAUUCAUAUUGAUAAUGAUGAUAAUCUCUGGUUGAUGUGCGUACUUCUCAAUGGGGAAGCAAUAAAAAAAAAAUAAUAAUAAUACAAUCAGAUUUCUAUCGCGGGACUUUAUAGCUAUAUAAUACUUACAUAUUGUACAAUUUUAUAUACAUAUGUACGUAGUAUGUUGUAUAGGUAUUUAUAGACCACUUGACGAGUUCAAUUGUACGAUCGAUAUACCGACAAGUUGACUGAUUUCCCAAAUUGGCAUAUGUUCAAGAGUCCCGAACGCGUCGCUUAUCAUUUAUCAGUAAACAAAGUGGACUCUGAUAGGGAGGGCGUUGCACGGGAUGUCAAAAAUCGCUCGGCUUAAUUGCACAAAUCAAGCACUUUAGGUUAUUCAAUUUCCAGUGAAUUCCAUAUCAAUACUACAAAAACUGGUAGUACAGAGUGCAUUCGAUAAAUGCUGUCAAGCUAAUGAUGCCGUGCACAAUCAAUAGCUACUUGCACCCUGCUAAUGAAUGUGAACUUAGCCCAGUUUCCACAGCAACAGGAGGAGCGGGGCAACCUCAAAUCAGUUGAGGGGGAUGACGGAACAGCAGCCUACACCGGCUAGAUGUGGUUCCCAUUACAGUGCGUGCGCAGUGGAAAAUUUUACGAAAAGUCGAAAAAACGCCUUUAGGGAAACAGCUCACAGGCAACACGUACAUAUAUCCCCGUAAAUGCAACAGCACUAAAUGAGAAAAAAAUAAAACAGAGGAAUACAAAGGUGAUGAAUUAUUGAGCAGCCCGACUGUAAUCACAAAAAAGCAGGAGACAACAACAACAACUGACAUGCUGGGUCAAGAGAGAGCAAAUGACAACGUGGCGAGAGCAGGGAGAGCGUGUGUUGGCAUAUGUGUAGGCGGCUUGGCAGCGUGGGCAGAGCGUAAAUGUCAAACUCUUCGCUUGUGCUUGAAAGGGACAGAACUGGGUGGGUGGGUGUCGCAAUGACGUGUGCAUUGACCGUUGGAUGUCGAUUGUGUAAUCACUCUCUAGUAAUAUCAGCACUUAUGUUAUGCAUAUAUAUGUACUUAUGAAUGCACUUGUAUGUACUUAGCCAACACUGUGUCUUGUGCUAUAAAAUAUUUAUAG